This 198-nucleotide ribosomal RNA is filed under the name uncultured bacterium. RNAcentral's name for it is "partial 16S ribosomal RNA". It matches the Rfam family "Bacterial small subunit ribosomal RNA", at positions 326 to 539 of the family's 1533-position model. The record is from RNAcentral.
ACGCUCGACACCUACGGGAAGCAGCAGUGGGGAAUAUUGCACAAUGGGGGGAAACCCUGAUGCAGCGACGCCGCGUGGAGGAAGAAGGUCUUCGGAUUGUAAACUCCUGUUGUUGGGGAAAAAGAGGAUGGUACCCAACAAGGAAGUGACGGCUAACUACGUGCCAGCAGCCGGGUAAUCUGAGCGGGCUGGCAAGGC